This 200-nucleotide long non-coding RNA is filed under the name Stegodyphus dumicola. RNAcentral describes it as "uncharacterized LOC118180275". The record is from RNAcentral. Lineage: Eukaryota; Metazoa; Arthropoda; Arachnida; Araneae; Eresidae.
GGCUUGCUGCACAGUUUACCUUUAUCAACUGAAGCGAUUUCUGUUGCUGAACCAUCUGUUGUUCAUUUGCCACAACCUUCAGCUUCAUAUUUUGGAGAAAUAAAUUUUGCUGCCGAAGUAUCUGAUGUUUGUUUGCAAGAACAAGCUUCAACUUCAUCUUGUGAUAAAAUGCCAUCUAUUUGUGAAGGAUCUCAUGUAAG